ACGGCUGAGUAACACAUGGGAAUCUACCUCAAACUCGAGAAUAGCCCAUCGAAAGGUGGUGUAAUACUCGAUAGUUCCGUUUACGGUAAAGCUCCGGCGGUUUGAGAUGAGCCCAUGUCCUAUCAGGUUGUUGGUGGGGUAAUUGCCUACCAAGCCUAUGACGGGUAGCUGGUUUGAGAGGAUGAUCAGCCAGACUGGGACUGCGAUACGGCCCAGACUCCUACGGGAGGCAGCAACUAGGAAUCAUGCGCAAUGGACGAAAGUCUGACGCUGCGACGUCGCGUGAGGGAUGAAGGUCUUCGGAUCGUAAACCUCUUUUAUCUGGGAACAAGUUCUGAGUGUACCAGAUGAAUAAGUGCCUGCCAACCACGUGCCAGAAGCAUCGGUAAUGCGUGGGGCACGAGCGUUAUCCGGAUUUACUGGGCGUAAAGAGAUGCGUAGGCGCCUUUUUAAGUCACUUGUAAAAUCUCCCCGCUCAACGGGGAAACUGCAAGUGAUACUGAAUUGGUUGAGUCAAGUAGAGGAGAGGGGAAUUCCUGGUGGAGCGGUUAAAUGCGUUGAUAUCAGGAGGAAUACCAAGUGCGAAGGCACCUCUCUGGACUUGUACUGACGCUAAGGCUCGAAAGUGUGGGGAGCAAAACGGAUUAGAUACCCGUGUAGUCCACACUGUAAACGAUCCCUGCUAG
Molecule: ribosomal RNA, 686 nt
Filed under: uncultured organism
Description: bacterial SSU rRNA
Rfam family: Bacterial small subunit ribosomal RNA
Source: RNAcentral